This is a non-coding RNA of Pelobates cultripes (western spadefoot toad), 226 nucleotides long. NCBI's taxonomy places the organism in Eukaryota, Metazoa, Chordata, Amphibia, Anura, Pelobatidae. The record is from the annotation of a GenBank genome assembly.
GUGCAAAUUAAAGUGAAAUUGCUCAAUACAAAACAAAUGCUUAAAGAUCAAACUCUCCCCCCUGUCCACCUGCUCAGACAAAUUCACCUGAAAAAUUAGCUCCUAACUGGAAAUUUAAUGUACUGAUAACGAUAAAAAGAAAAUAAGUGAUUGACUAGAUUUGUGUGUAUCACUGAUUGGUCUGUGUUAUACAUUUUAUGGCCUUCUCUUUUUGGAUCUCUUGACA